CGUAAAUAAAUAAAAUAAAAUUUUUUAUUAAAAUUAAAAUCAAAACCAUCAUGUGCUAGCAUAGACAUGAAAAUCAAAUUUCGACUAGCUACAGGAAUAAAAAAAUAAUUUUUUAAAUCUAAUCUAAAUUUUGAUGAUAAUCGAAGAGGAUAAGUGUCAAUAAUUUUUGCAGUAACUUUUGCUCCAUUGUCGAUCUGAAGGAUCAUGUCACAUUCUCUCAACCUCCUACUUUCUA
This 235-nucleotide long non-coding RNA is filed under the name Elaeis guineensis (African oil palm). RNAcentral's name for it is "long non-coding RNA (EGUI_LNC033258)". The record is from RNAcentral. Lineage: Eukaryota; Viridiplantae; Streptophyta; Magnoliopsida; Arecales; Arecaceae.